UGCACUAUAUUUUCCCAUAGACAUGUAACGUGUUCAUCAUACAUUGAGGAAAUAUUCACAAGGAUAAUGUUACUUCACGGAUGAAACAAUGAACUACUGUUUCUACAUCUCUCAAGGAAUAGUGCAAUGAGAUAGGAAAACAUCAAGGCACAGAAAUUUUGAGCUUCCUUCUCUCUACGUAAUAACUAAAAAUAUACAUCCAUCCUCAAGUUGUUCCCUGCGGAUCACCUUUCCAAUAUCCUCAAUUCGUUCCUGCAUCCAUAAUUCUCUAAACAUUUCCAGGAAGGAAGCUUCCAUCUGAUGACGUAAACCAUUCAAGUGUUUAAAUUGCUUCAGAAAAGUUUCCAGUGCUGAAAAUCUUUUCUUGGUGAGGAGGGAGAAGAAAAAUGAGAGAAAAUAGCUCGCCCAAUCAUAGUCAAACUGUAAACAAUCCCAGCAACAUAAAAGAGCAUAACCAAAGCAAGCACCCAUGGCAUCAUUAAAAAGCCAAUAAAGAAAGUGACGGAUCCACAAAGCAUCAAAGCAAAAGAAAUCCCCAGAAGCAGAGAUGCAAAUCCGGCCGGAGUAAUUUGCUGCAUCGACCCUGCGACAGACAUCCUCCUCCCUGAAGAGGAUGGAGAAUCAUCGUAAAACUCAAUUGGCGCCGGUGGUGAUCGUAUAAUAUUUAAAAUCAAAGAAGAAAGUUGUUCUAGAACCUUAGAUUGUUGAUCCUGUUGCCUUCUCAUCAUAUUAGAUUGAAAAUUACAGAAGAAAAACAAGGCAAAUGGAAAAGACGUGAGGUCGAAAUAGAAUUAUCCCCCCAACAAUAUAUUAAAAGGCCUCUAUCUAGGCUUUUUGUUUGCUUUCCUUUUGCCCUGUUUGGAGAAUUCAAAAAUUAAAAGUAUUACUAUGGCACAUAAGGGGGAAAGAGAGAAAGAAAGUUGCUUUAUGUUGAAGGUAUAGAUUUAUGAAAAAGUAGACAAGAAGG
RNAcentral lists this unclassified non-coding RNA (967 nucleotides) under Hevea brasiliensis (rubber tree). Lineage: Eukaryota; Viridiplantae; Streptophyta; Magnoliopsida; Malpighiales; Euphorbiaceae. The record is from RNAcentral.